Molecule: long non-coding RNA, 1233 nt
Organism: Pelmatolapia mariae (spotted tilapia)
Lineage: Eukaryota; Metazoa; Chordata; Actinopteri; Cichliformes; Cichlidae
Exons: 3
Source: RefSeq, a predicted model, not a curated record
CUAAGUCAGCCGGAAGCAGUAUUUAUAAAGAGGAAAAGUCGAGUUUCCAUACCAGUAGGAAUUCUUCCACGUGAAAAUACCAGCAUGACCGCAUUUUCUGGCCAUACAUUUCUAACACAGGACGAAGUUUCUGCAGUAAGUCGACGCUGUUUUGUAAGCUAGCCUUCCUGCACAUGACUAGCUACCUGGCAGCUACGUACACUGAUGCUAAAGUUACUAAUUAUCAAGUAAACAACAGAAGUAUUAACAAACUAAGAUGCCAGUUCGUUAACAGAGCAGGUUUUGACUCUUGCCAGCAGGCUAGCUGUGAAUUACGGCAUGCAAACUUUGCAAUUUGCAGGAGACGCAGGAGCAGGUUAAUGAGCUGCGGCGUGCUAUCGAAAAAACCACUCGUAAACUGGAGAAGGUCCAACAGAGAAGACUGCAUACUGAAGAAGAGAUAAUUAAACGGUAUCUCAAUGUACACCACCCAUUUACUUUAGUUUCCAAUUAAACUGGGUGCCUGUCACGCUUAAAGUGUCCAAAAAACCUGACUUUGUCUCAACCCGUAUAAUGCUUCCUGUGAUGUGAUACCAGUUAUCGUCGGUGGGUGCACUGAGGUGCACAACAGGCUGUUACUGUAGAUUAAUCGACCAGUCUAUUUGGUACACCUCAUGUCUUGAACUACUCCCUCAUGCAAUCUAAUCUAAACGGCAAACUCAGUGCAUUUGGGCAUGUAAUUCAAGUUUCAAGGUCAAGCUGAGCCGCAGAAUGGGGAAGAGAGGUGAUUUUGAACAUGGCACAGCUGUUGUACGAGAGAAACUGAACGGAGAGUGGAUUUAAUGAUGGAAAAAAGUGAAAUCGUUAAUGCACUGCAACAACUGGGUCAUCUGCUGCAAAGUGAGAUGGAUCUCUUUGAACAACUAAAUGGCCAAAGCUCUCCAGACAGGUAUUCCGAAGUGCUGUGGGCAAAACCGAAGCAGACGUGACAUGUGCAAACUUACAAUAUAUAUUUCAGGAGUGAAAGGCUCAGUUUGCAGGACCAGAGUGAGAGCGCCAGCAUUAAGGCAAGCCAGCUUCUUGCUGAAAUCCUGGAGGUGAAACAGCAGCUAGAAGAGGUUGAGGCUCGUUAUUCGGCGGUUCAAGCUUUGCUCCCUGGGCCAACCUACAAGUUGGAGAGAAAUCACACGCUGCAGUGACUUACAAACACUGUUAUUUUAAUAAGUACAAUAAAGUGUAUAUAAGUGUUUUUAA